GACGAACGCUGGCGGCGUGCUUAACACAUGCAAGUCGAACGAAGAGCGAUGGAAGCUUGCUUCUAUCAAUCUUAGUGGCGAACGGGUGAGUAACGCGUAAUCAACCUGCCCUUCAGAGGGGGACAACAGUUGGAAACGACUGCUAAUACCGCAUACGAUCUAAUCUCGGCAUCGAGGAUAGAUGAAAGGUGGCCUCUACAUGUAAGCUAUCACUGAAGGAGGGGAUUGCGUCUGAUUAGCUAGUUGGAGGGGUAACGGCCCACCAAGGCGAUGAUCAGUAGCCGGUCUGAGAGGAUGAACGGCCACAUUGGGACUGAGACACGGCCCAGACUCCUACGGGAGGCAGCAGUGGGGAAUCUUCCGCAAUGGACGAAAGUCUGACGGAGCAACGCUGCGUGAGUGAUGACGGCCUUCGGGUUGUAAAGCUCUGUUAAUCGGGACGAAAGGCCUUCUUGCGAAUAGUGAGAAGGAUUGACGGUACCGGAAUAGAAAGCCACGUCUAACUACGUG
Molecule: ribosomal RNA, 510 nt
Filed under: uncultured bacterium
Lineage: Bacteria
Description: partial 16S ribosomal RNA
Rfam family: Bacterial small subunit ribosomal RNA
Source: RNAcentral